UGAACGCUGGCGGCAUGCCUUACACAUGCAAGUCGAACGGCAGCGCGGACUUCGGUCUGGCGGCGAGUGGCGAACGGGUGAGUAAUACAUCGGAACGUGUCCUGUAGUGGGGGAUAGCCCGGCGAAAGCCGGAUUAAUACCGCAUACGCUCUACGGAGGAAAGGGGGGGAUCUUAGGACCUCUCGCUACAGGGGCGGCCGAUGGCAGAUUAGCUAGUUGGUGGGGUAAAGGCCUACCAAGGCGACGAUCUGUAGCUGGUCUGAGAGGACGACCAGCCACACUGGGACUGAGACACGGCCCAGACUCCUACGGGAGGCAGCAGUGGGGAAUUUUGGACAAUGGGGGCAACCCUGAUCCAGCAAUGCCGCGUGUGUGAAGAAGGCCUUCGGGUUGUAAAGCACUUUUGUCCGGAAAGAAAACUUCGCCGCCAAUAGCGGUGG
RNAcentral lists this ribosomal RNA (440 nucleotides) under Burkholderia sp. OKI-11. RNAcentral's name for it is "bacterial SSU rRNA". It matches the Rfam family "Bacterial small subunit ribosomal RNA", at positions 30 to 471 of the family's 1533-position model. Lineage: Bacteria; Pseudomonadati; Pseudomonadota; Betaproteobacteria; Burkholderiales; Burkholderiaceae. The record is from RNAcentral.